GCGGGCCGGCGGGAGCGGGCUGUGCUGUGAGGGCAGCCCCGGGUGUCUUGUCACCGGCCGGCCCGCGCCCACGGGUGGCCGCCGGGCCCUCCGCGGAGCCUGCCGGCGGGUGAGGCAGCAGGAGGGGGAGUGCGGAGGGGCCGGAGCGCCCUCCGCUGAGGCCGUGGGUGACAGGGGAGGGAGGGAGGCUGGCUGCGGCUGCCGCCGAAUGUGCCUUGUUGUGUGUACCGUGUGUCUUGGUAACCCUGCCUUGGGUGUGGGCUUAGCCGCCGUGCGGCUUGGGCUGGGGGUGCCGUCUGAUUUCGGUUUCCACGUACCGGCUCGCUUAUUUCCUGACUGGUUGUUACCAACUUUUUCACUGGGGGAAUAGAUCUGUUCCUUGGUCAGCGUGCACACCCGCGUUUGCAUUGCCUCCUGCUAAUACAACAAUAUGCUGUUUAUCUUGGGCUGGCAGUUUAGACAGCGUGUGAGGCUUCUCUUGCUUUAUCAUAUUGGUCAUGUUGGUGCUCAGCCGGUGGCCUGAGAGGAGAAAAAAAAAAAUUAGUUGUGCUUUUUUUUUUUUCUUUUCAGAAAUCACUUAAUAAAAUGGAUGGCAAAAUCCAAGCAGUAAGGAAGAUAUCUUCUCUUUGCAGGGUCGCUCAGGAGUCUGCUUCUAAUGCUGCAAAGCAUUGUGAAAAUGCGCUUUAACUUUUGAAUGGGAAGAAUGACCGUACCCAAGAACUGUGCCGAGCUUGCUGUGACAUGGUUAAAGAUUUUCACAUCGUUAAAAACCUAUAAUCUUUAAAAUGCAGUAUUUUAGUAGUUUAACUGCGUUUCUGUUCAACUGUUCUAGUUGUGCUCUCUUCACCAAGACCUAGCCAAUGAAUUCUUAGUGUUGCAGGGUUACCUGAAAUGGCUCAAUAUUGGUGUACUCCAAACUUCUAGUACUCUAAAUCUUUGAAAACCUGUUCAAGGGCCAAGAUGGAUGACAAACUAGUUUUCACCUAAAGCAUAUAAGAAUCUAAAGCUUCUGAUAUUAGAAUAAAACUUUAUCAAAAACUUGAAUCAGAGCAGGCUUUAGACUUUCUUAAAAAGUCUUGAACUAGAUUGAAAACAAAUGAUCUCUUGGCUUAAAACCCACUUUUUGUAAUUGGCUUCUUAAGGUGGUAGCUUGUGUUAGGGAUGUGAUGGUGGGAGUCUGGCAAAACUUAGUGUAAAUGGGAAGAAUGUGAGUCUGUGUGUAAGCAGUUCCAAUAUGUGGUCUCACUGACUUAGCCAAAAUGCACUGAGAGCAGCCUAUAGAAGGUUAUGCAGAAGCUCGUGAAAAAUGCUCUGAGUUGAUAGAAUGAGAACCUCAUGAACUGAGUAAGAGAAACUUGAUGAAGUUACUAAAUAAAUUACUGGUGCAAAAAGUGAUACCUGUAAGCAUUAAUUGGUAGCCUACAAGGCAUGGAGUAGAGAAAUAGUUAACAGUGCUCCUGUCUGAUACUCUAGGCUGUGCUUUAGAAGACCAGACAUUAGAAAGCCUGAAAACUCAUCAAAACAGUUUUGACUAGAACUCUGUAUCUCUUCUCAUAACAAAAUUAAAUCUAUCGUGUCUGAUUGGUGACAACUGGGACUUGGUCAUCAUAACUUUGGUUUUGUAGGUCAAUCUUUGAGAUGUUAUACUUAGCCGUCCUGUGUCUCCAUUGUUGCUGUAUAGCCUCUGCGAGGAAAAACACUCUUCUGUGCCAAUGAAAGAUGAAAAUGCCAAUGAAAGUCCAAACUAAUAUUAUGGCUUCAUUGUAUUGACCACUGUGGAGAUGCUUUAAGCCAUCCUGUGUGAUGUGCUAAUAAACCAUUCCUGAAUGUGGGUGCAAUUUAUACUGGCAAGAUAAUUUUGCCUCUGUCAAGACAGCUCGCUCUUUAUUUAAAUUGGGAAGAGAGGGAAUGAAAAGUGGAACUAAACUAUACUGUGAUUUUUUUCAUAAUUGUCUACGAUAUAAAUGCUUGCUAGACUGGUUAAGUUGGCCACAAAUCACCUUUUGGUGACCCACGAACAACUUCACACUAUGAACAGAAAGGCAUAGGGCCGGGGUGAAGAGUUUACUUGGACGGUUUACAGCAUAAGUAAUUUGGGCAGAGUUGUCAAGUGCUAGCUCAUCAUAUGAGACUAUCGUCUGAGCUGCACUGAAUUUCAAAUGUAUAUGUAUUUAAACAUUAAUGAUAUUUGGUUCUCUGUAUGUACAUGAAGAGUUGGUUGCUGCUUUGAAGAGAUCACCUUCCUUCCUGCAUGGAGGAAGGGAUGCCACAGAGUGCUUAGUGAUAACAACAGUAACUUGUUUAUUAUGUGUUAACAUAGAAUAGUUAGAGCUUUGUAGCUAAUGAGGCAGCUUCAUAGAAAGAAGUAGUGCAAGUUGUAGUGAAGGAAAUACUGAUAAAGGGCUUCCUAUUUGUUUGUGAGGGUGAUGUGCAGAGACAGAAGAGCAACUUUGAUUCAGCUGACUUGCUCAAAAGUGAACAUGGCAGUUAAAACAACUUGAAGAUCUGACCAAGAUAAUAGAACA
This is a long non-coding RNA of Harpia harpyja (harpy eagle), 2525 nucleotides long. RefSeq lists it as uncharacterized. The record is from RefSeq and is a predicted model, not a curated record. The transcript is spliced from 2 exons. Lineage: Eukaryota; Metazoa; Chordata; Aves; Accipitriformes; Accipitridae.